GAGGGUACAGCUCAAGUGAUAGAGUGAAUGCUUAGUAUGCGUGAGGGUCUGGGUUCAAGCCCAGUACCUCCA
Molecule: transfer RNA, 72 nt
Filed under: Camelus bactrianus (Bactrian camel)
Lineage: Eukaryota; Metazoa; Chordata; Mammalia; Artiodactyla; Camelidae
Also listed under: 2 other names
Rfam family: tRNA
About the family: Transfer RNA (tRNA) molecules are approximately 80 nucleotides in length. Their secondary structure includes four short double-helical elements and three loops (D, anti-codon, and T loops).
Source: Rfam by way of RNAcentral